AAGUCGUAACAAGGUUUCCGUAGGUGAACCUGCGGAAGGAUCAUUAACAAGUCUGCUGUCCGUUCUUGUGCUGUCGUGGGGGGUUGUGCCUUCUGCGUCGUGUGCAAGGACGACAUUUGUUCCAUGCUGCACGUUUACUCUGCACAUGACAUUCUCUACGAGUCAUCUGAUUAUUGACACUUGUCCACAAACAAAUAACUUUUAACAAUGGAUCUCUAGGCUCCU
This 225-nucleotide unclassified non-coding RNA is filed under the name Rozellomycota sp. Its description in RNAcentral is "Cryptomycota sp. partial contains small subunit ribosomal RNA, internal transcribed spacer 1, and 5.8S ribosomal RNA". The stretch from base 1 to 46 matches the Rfam family "Eukaryotic small subunit ribosomal RNA", at positions 1786 to 1831 of the family's 1831-position model. The record is from RNAcentral. Lineage: Eukaryota; Fungi; Rozellomycota.